GAAUUCUUUGCCUUUUCCCAUUGGGGGAAAGGAACCCAAUGGGGUUUCCUUUGGUAAGGGGGAGGGAAGCGGUAAAAGCUCAAAUUGGAAAUUGGGUACUUUCAGUCCCGGAGUGGUAAUUGGUAGAAUUGGUUUUGGAUUAGUUCUUGUUUUAGGUUCCUGGGACCAGGAGUUCAUGGAGGGUGAAAAUCCCUUUGGGGGAGGAUCCCUUUUUUCGGUAAGACUUUUUGGAAGAUUGGAUUUGUUGGGGAUUCCACUUCAAGGUGGGGGGUAAUUUCCUUUUAAAGUUAAAUAUGGGGGGGAAACGGAUAGGGACCAGGUCCGGGGAGGGAAGGAGGAAAGAAAUUUGAAAAGGGGAGUGAAAAGGUACGGAAAAUGGUGGAAGGGGAGGGCCUUUGGUUCAGCCAGGGUGUUUUUGCCAUGCACUCGCCUCUCGUGGGCUUGGGCCUCUCAAAAAUUUCACUGGGCCAACAUCAAUUCUGGCAGCAGGAUAAAUCAUUAAGAAUGUAGCUACUUCGGAAUGGUAUAACUUUUUGGAAUAACUGUAACCGGGAAUGAAGAAUGGCCCUCCGCCAGGGAUGUGGCCUAAUGGGUUAAUGGCCCCCGGUU
Molecule: ribosomal RNA, 609 nt
Filed under: Hanseniaspora uvarum
Lineage: Eukaryota; Fungi; Ascomycota; Saccharomycetes; Saccharomycodales; Saccharomycodaceae
Description: partial 26S ribosomal RNA
Rfam family: Eukaryotic large subunit ribosomal RNA
Source: RNAcentral